RNAcentral lists this ribosomal RNA (450 nucleotides) under uncultured bacterium. RNAcentral's name for it is "bacterial SSU rRNA". It matches the Rfam family "Bacterial small subunit ribosomal RNA", at positions 355 to 825 of the family's 1533-position model. The record is from RNAcentral.
UGGGGAAUAUUGCGCAAUGGGCGAAAGCCUGACGCAGCCACGCCGCGUGGGUGAUGAAGGCCUUCGGGUUGUAAAGCCCUGUCUGGAGGGACGAAUAAUGACGGUACCUCCAAAGAAAGCACCGGCUAACUCCGUGCCAGCAGCCGCGGUAAUACGGAGGGUGCGAGCGUUGCUCGGAAUUACUGGGCGUAAAGGGCUCGUAGGCGGCCAACUAAGUCAGACGUGAAAUCCCUCGGCUUAACCGGGGAACUGCGUCUGAUACUGGAUGGCUUGAGGUUGGGAGAGGGAUGCGGAAUUCCAGGUGUAGCGGUGAAAUGCGUAGAUAUCUGGAGGAACACCGGUGGCGAAGGCGACAUCCUGGACCAAUUCUGACGCUGAGGAGCGAAAGCCAGGGGAGCAAACGGGGAUUAGAUACCCGAUGUAGUCCCUGAGCGGGCUGGCAAGGCGCAU